AUGCAGGAUUGGGGGUGGCGACAGAAAGCCUGAGAACAUACCCUUUGAACCUGGUCUGGGUAAUGCCAGCGUAGGGAAAUUGCAGCGGUAUGGU
This 94-nucleotide non-coding RNA is filed under the name Desulfosudis oleivorans Hxd3. Its description in RNAcentral is "Desulfococcus oleovorans Hxd3 TPP riboswitch aptamer (THI element)". It matches the Rfam family "TPP riboswitch aptamer (THI element)". Rfam says of the family: Vitamin B(1) in its active form thiamin pyrophosphate (TPP) is an essential coenzyme that is synthesised by coupling of pyrimidine and thiazole moieties in bacteria. The previously detected thiamin-regulatory element, thi box was extended, resulting in a new, highly conserved RNA secondary structure, the THI element, which is widely distributed in eubacteria and also occurs in some archaea. Analysis of operon structures identified a large number of new candidate thiamin-regulated genes, mostly transporters, in various prokaryotic organisms. The record is from Rfam by way of RNAcentral. RNAcentral also lists the same sequence under 1 other name. Lineage: Bacteria; Pseudomonadati; Thermodesulfobacteriota; Desulfobacteria; Desulfobacterales; Desulfosudaceae.